GGGAAGGUGGCUCAGUGGUAGAGCACUUGCCUUGUAUGCCUGAGGCCCUGGGUUCAGUGGUAGAGUGCUUGCCUUGCAUGCCUG
Molecule: transfer RNA, 84 nt
Filed under: Dipodomys ordii (Ord's kangaroo rat)
Lineage: Eukaryota; Metazoa; Chordata; Mammalia; Rodentia; Heteromyidae
Source: Rfam by way of RNAcentral